GGUAUCCACAUGAAGCCCUCGUGCUGAUCAAUCUCCUCGAGAGUGCUAGCUCAUGAAGACACCAUACUUUGGCUGAUCUAAGAGGAAUCAUGAAGAUGAAGAAUAAGAAGAUCUUUUUUUUUCUUCCUGAAUCCACGCAUCAGAUCUCUACAAUGGAGAUCAUGAGAAGAACCUUUCUUCUCAAUUCUCCCAUGCACAAGAGAGAACCUUUCUCUCUUCCUUUCAUGCC
RNAcentral lists this long non-coding RNA (229 nucleotides) under Elaeis guineensis (African oil palm). Its description in RNAcentral is "long non-coding RNA (EGUI_LNC060593)". Lineage: Eukaryota; Viridiplantae; Streptophyta; Magnoliopsida; Arecales; Arecaceae. The record is from RNAcentral.